RNAcentral lists this unclassified non-coding RNA (253 nucleotides) under uncultured Cytophagales bacterium. RNAcentral describes it as "contains 16S-23S intergenic spacer region". It matches the Rfam family "Bacterial small subunit ribosomal RNA", at positions 524 to 776 of the family's 1533-position model. The record is from RNAcentral. Lineage: Bacteria; Pseudomonadati; Bacteroidota; Sphingobacteriia; Sphingobacteriales.
UACGGAGGGUGCAAGCGUUGUCCGGAAUCAUUGGGUUUAAAGGGUCCGUAGGCGGACAAUUAAGUCAGUGGUGAAAUCCAACAGCUCAACUGUUGAACUGCCAUUGAUACUGGUGGGCUGGAGUAAAGUCGAGGCGGGCGGAACUGGUGGUGUAGCGGUGAAAUGCUUAGAUAUCGUAAAGAACACCUAUAGCGAAGGCAGCUUGCUAAACUAUAACUGACGCUGAGGCACGAAAGCAUGGGUAGCGAACAGG